GGGUUGUGAGGUUAAGCGACCAAGCGUACACGGUGGAUGCCCUGGCAGUCAGAGGCGAUGAAGGACGUGCUAAUCUGCGAUAAGCGCCGGUAAGGUGAUAUGAACCGUUAUAACCGGCGAUUUCCGAAUGGGGAAACCCAGUGUGAUUCGUCACACUAUCAUUAACUGAAUCCAUAGGUUAAUGAAGCGAACCGGGGGAACUGAAACAUCUAAGUACCCCGAGGAAAAGAAAUCAACCGAGAUUCCCCCAGUAGCGGCGAGCGAACGGGGAGGAGCCCAGAGCCUGAAUCAGCAUGUGUGUUAGUGGAAGCGUCUGGAAAGGCGCGCGAUACAGGGUGACAGCCCCGUACACAAAAGCGCAUAUGCUGUGAGCUCGAUGAGUAGGGCGGGACACGUGGUAUCCUGUCUGAAUAUGGGGGGACCAUCCUCCAAGGCUAAAUACUCCUGACUGACCGAUAGUGAACCAGUACCGUGAGGGAAAGGCGAAAAGAACCCCGGCGAGGGGAGUGAAACAGAACCUGAAACCGUGUACGUACAAGCAGUGGGAGCACAGGUUUACCUGUGUGACUGCGUACCUUUUGUAUAAUGGGUCAGCGACUUAUAUUCUGUAGCAAGGUUAACCGUAUAGGGGAGCCGAAGGGAAACCGAGUCUUAAUUGGGCGUUAAGUUGCAGGGUAUAGACCCGAAACCCGGUGAUCUAGCCAUGGGCAGGUUGAAGGUUGGGUAACACUAACUGGAGGACCGAACCGACUAAUGUUGAAAAAUUAGCGGAUGACCUGUGGCUGGGGGUGAAAGGCCAAUCAAACCGGGAGAUAGCUGGUUCUCCCCGAAAGCUAUUUAGGUAGCGCCUCGUGAAUUCAUCUCCGGGGGUAGAGCACUGUUUCGGCUAGGGGGCCAUCCCGGCUUACCAACCCGAUGCAAACUGCGAAUACCGGAGAAUGUUAUCACGGGAGACACACGGCGGGUGCUAACGUCCGUCGUGAAGAGGGAAACAACCCAGACCGCCAGCUAAGGUCCCAAAGUCAUGGUUAAGUGGGAAACGAUGUGGGAAGGCCCAGACAGCCAGGAUGUUGGCUUAGAAGCAGCCAUCAUUUAAAGAAAGCGUAAUAGCUCACUGGUCGAGUCGGCCUGCGCGGAAGAUGUAACGGGGCUAAACCAU
Molecule: ribosomal RNA, 1159 nt
Filed under: Salmonella enterica subsp. salamae
Lineage: Bacteria; Pseudomonadati; Pseudomonadota; Gammaproteobacteria; Enterobacterales; Enterobacteriaceae
Description: partial 23S ribosomal RNA
Rfam family: Bacterial large subunit ribosomal RNA
Source: RNAcentral